RNAcentral lists this ribosomal RNA (638 nucleotides) under uncultured bacterium. Its description in RNAcentral is "bacterial SSU rRNA". It matches the Rfam family "Bacterial small subunit ribosomal RNA", at positions 202 to 844 of the family's 1533-position model. The record is from RNAcentral.
UAAAGAAUUUCGGUCAUCGAUGGGGAUGCGUUCCAUUAGCUUGUUGGCGGGGUAACGGCCCACCAAGGCAUCGAUGGAUAGGGGUUCUGAGAGGAAGGUCCCCCACAUUGGAACUGAGACACGGUCCAAACUCCUACGGGAGGCAGCAGUGAGGAAUAUUGGUCAAUGGGCGCUAGCCUGAACCAGCCAAGUAGCGUGAAGGAUGACUGCCCUAUGGGUUGUAAACUUCUUUUAUAUGGGAAUAAAGUGCAGUAUGUAUACUGCUUUGCAUGUACCUUAUGAAUAAGGAUCGGCUAACUCCGUGCCAGCAGCCGCGGUAAUACGGAGGAUCCGAGCGUUAUCCGGAUUUAUUGGGUUUAAAGGGAGCGUAGGCGGGUUGUUAAGUCAGUUGUGAAAGUUUGCGGCUCAACCGUAAAAUUGCAGUUGAUACUGGCAUCCUUGAGUACAGUAGAGGUAGGCGGAAUUCGUGGUGUAGCGGUGAAAUGCUUAGAUAUCACGAAGAACUCCGAUUGCGAAGGCAGCCUGCUGGACUGUAACUGACGCUGAUGCUCGAAAGUGUGGGUAUCAAACAGGAUUAGAUACCCUGGUAGUCCACACAGUAAACGAUGAAUACUCGCUGUUUGCGAUAUACAGUAAGC